This 440-nucleotide ribosomal RNA is filed under the name uncultured bacterium. RNAcentral's name for it is "partial 16S ribosomal RNA". It matches the Rfam family "Bacterial small subunit ribosomal RNA", at positions 338 to 795 of the family's 1533-position model. The record is from RNAcentral.
CCUACGGAUGGCAGCAGUAGGGAAUAUUGCUCAAUGGGGGAAACCCUGAAGCAGCAACGCCGCGUGGAGGAUGAAGGUUUUCGGAUUGUAAACCCCUUUUGUUAGAGAAGAUAAUGACGGUACCUAACCAAUAAUCACCGGCUAACUCCGUGCCAGCAGCCGCGGUAAUACGGAGGGUGCAAGCGUUACUCGGAAUUACUGGGCGUAAAGAGCGCGUAGGCGGGAGAGCAAGUCAGAUGUGAAAUCCUAUGGCUUAACCAUGGGACUGCAUUUGAAACUGUUAUUCUAGAGUGUGGGAGAGGUAGGUGGAAUUCUUGGUGUAGGGGUGAAAUGCGUAGAUAUCAAGAGGAAUACUCAUUGCGAAGGCGGCCUGCUGGAACGUAACUGACGCUGAUGCGCGAAAGCGUGGGGAGCAAACAGGAUUAGAUACCCUUGUAGUC